CAGUAGCCACGGUAACACGAAGGGGGCUAGCGUUGUUCGGAAUUACUGGGCGUAAAGCGCACGCAGGCGGCUCGAUAAAUUAGAUGUGAAAGCCCUGGGCUCAACCUAGGAAUUGCAUUUGAUACUGUUUGGCUUGAGUUCGGGAGAGGUGAGUGGAAUUCCCAGUGUAGAGGUGAAAUUCGUAGAUAUCGGAAGGAACACCUGUGGCGAAAGCGGCUCACUGGACAAUAACUGACGCUGAUGCACGAAAGCUAGGGGAGCAAACAGGAUUAGAUACCCGUGUAGUCCCUGUUUCUUAUAC
This 301-nucleotide ribosomal RNA is filed under the name uncultured bacterium. RNAcentral describes it as "partial 16S ribosomal RNA". It matches the Rfam family "Bacterial small subunit ribosomal RNA", at positions 509 to 807 of the family's 1533-position model. The record is from RNAcentral.